Molecule: non-coding RNA, 2542 nt
Organism: Schizosaccharomyces pombe (fission yeast)
Lineage: Eukaryota; Fungi; Ascomycota; Schizosaccharomycetes; Schizosaccharomycetales; Schizosaccharomycetaceae
Source: the annotation of a GenBank genome assembly
GAUGAGUUUACGAUAUUUUAUACAUAUGAUACAUACCGUAGUCUAAGUUUCAUUAGCGGCACAAACAACUUUAAAGAACCAAAAGUCUUGUUUUUAAUGAUUGGUAGAAAUAUUCUUUAAAUAAAUUAAGACAUCGGUGAUAGUAAAUAGUAGGACUAUACAUGCGCGUAUAAUUCAAGUGUUUACGUUCAAAUUAGCGAGCUUGUACCACAGAUGAUCCGUCCAUAAAUCGUACAUGAAAUAGUCGAUUAGCAUUGGUAAACAUUCCUUCUUUAAGGCUAACAAUAAUAAACUGAGAACCUUUAAACUUUGUUUUAAUAAGUCUUCCAAUGUUUUGGGUAUGACUUAAAUCGAGCGCCGCGUCAAUUUCAUCUAAAAUGUACAUUGGAGCAGGCUUAUAUUUAAGUAGAGACAUAAUAAGAGCCAAUGCAACUAGAGACCUUUGUCCACCACUAAGUUCUGCCAGACUAUCUUUCCAAAUUGACCCAAUUUUUACAUGAAUUUCCAAUCCAUCAGUGAAUUCUUUAUUCUCUGGUGGCUGUAGUUCUGCACUAUUACCAGGAAGUAGUUCGUCAAAAAUUUCACCGAAAGAAGAAUUGACUUCUCUCCAGGUUUUUUCUAAGGCACUCCUUUUAAACCGAUCAAUACUUUUGACAGUAUCUUGGAUCUUUUUCUUAUCGCGAUGAAUGGUCUUUAUCAUAGAGCGCAAUUUGGCUUCUUUCUUUUCUACACCGUCAAUCAUGUCCAUAACCUUGGGAUUAAUAGCUUUACGCAUACUAGCAAAUCGCGGUUUCAAAUUAUGUAACUGCUCUCUACACUGACGCAUGUUUUGAGAGUGAAAAUCGAAAAUGGUUCCUUGCUUACCAAAGUGCUGUUUCUGUCCAUCUAUCCAAUCAUUUUCCUUUUCCAAAUGAUUAAUAGCAGUUAUAGCAACUGAUUUUUCUCGCUCUAAUCGGUCAAACUCGUGGUUCAGCUUUUGAAUUGUUAGCUCCCCAUUGUUUAUUUCAGAUUCGAAUGUUUUCAUUGAGGUACUGAGUGAAUCUAUCUCUUUGUUAAGUCCAGAAAACUUGGCGCUUUCAAUUUCUAUUAGUUCGGUGAGUUUCUUUCGAUUAUGCUCCUCAUUAACAAGUGACAGCUCAAGUUCUGCAAUUUCCGUCUUUAUUAAACUCGUGGUCGAUUCACCUUGUACGAGAGAUUGCUGAUGGUUUUGCAAUUCGCCUUCUAAUUGUUCACAUUCGAGUUUAACGCCAUUAUAGUCAUUCUCGGACUUUUCCAAUAUAGGAGUAAACUCGUCUAACUUGUGCUUGUAUUGAUUAAACUCCUUUUCCAAUUCAGCCAUUUUUGAUCCCUUGUUAUGUUUCCAUUCUUGCAUGUCUCGUUCAAUUUUUUUUAUAGCUUGGUCACUUUGCAAUAUAAGUCUGUCUAAUUCAGGAAGCCUUUGCUUGAGAUCUUUAACGUCGUCUUUGUACUGCUGAUAAUCAGAUAAAAGACGAAAAGAUGAGUCGGUCUCUCUUUGCUCUAUCAAAAGUGUUAAUUCAUGUUGCUUUAGUUGAAUUUCUUGCUCAAGUCGAUGAAAAUUGGCAUUUUGAGUCUUUAAGUCUUUAAGUUGAGUCUCCAACUUUUCAUAUUCUGAAGUAACUACUUGCAAUUUUAGCUGCAGACUGUUCAGCUUUUGUAUCUGUAGUAAAGGACCGGCAGAUUUAUUCACAGACCCACCAGUAAGGGUACCAGAUGGGUCAUAAACAUCACCAUCAAGCGUGACACUUUUUAAUUUAACUGAAGGAUGAAAGGUAACUUUCUUUGCCGAUUCAGGGGUAUCACAGACUAAUGUGGAGCCAAAAACAUACUGCAUUGCAGGCAAAAGCUCAUCGUCAUAACCGAUUAAUUCCAAAGCAAGUUGGGCUUUAUUAUUAGAAAUUUUUUUGGCUGCGCCUACUCUCUCUGCUGAAGCUACGAAGCUGGUAAUUUUGUUGAGGGGAAUAAUAGUAACUCUCCUCUUCAGGUUUCCUUUUUGAAGCAAUUGUGCACCAAUUUUCUCGGUUUCAACAAUGAGAUUAUAAAGGCGGCCACCAGCUGUAAUUUCUAAUGCAGUUUGCUUGUCAUAAUUCUCUUCAUUCAAGGUUAGCAAUUGAGCCACCAAUCCUUUCACCUUUGAGCGAUCAAAAUUAGGAGUAGGGUCGGUAUAAGUAAAUUCCAUAUAAGCAAGUUUGCUUUUUAAAGCAUCAAGUUCAUUUAACAAAUUGCCGCGAUCUUUAGCAAGUUGCUUCAACUUUUGCUGGAGUACAUCUUCACCUGUAAUGUCGGAAUUUGUAUUUUUUAAAGACAUUUUAAGCUUCUCAACAUGGUUUUGUAAUAUAUCGAUUUCGCGAUUGAGUUGAUCACAUCGUUUUGUAGCCUCAGCCUUCUUAGGUUUAGUUAAAGAUAUUUGUUUAUUGAGUCCUUCAAGCUUUAAUCGAUUGGUUUCUUUUUCAGCUUUAAAGUCAUUCAACGUAUCUCGAGCUUCGUGUAGUUUUCUAGAAUAGCCAGUUUCAUGACCUUCUGU